Molecule: ribosomal RNA, 406 nt
Filed under: uncultured prokaryote
Description: bacterial SSU rRNA
Rfam family: Bacterial small subunit ribosomal RNA
Source: RNAcentral
UGGGGAAUAUUGGACAAUGGGCCACGAGCCUGAUCCAGCAAUUCUGUGUGUGUGAUGAAGGUCUUAGGAUUGUAAAACACUUUCAGUGGGGAAGAAGCAAGUGACAGUACCCACAGAAGAAGCCACGGCUAACUACGUGCCAGCAGCCGCGGUAAGACGUAGGUGGCAAGCGUUAUCCGGAAUCACUGGGCGUAAAGGGCAUCUAGGCGGUUUAUUAAGUCAGAAGUGAAAUACCGGGGCUCAACCCCGGGACUGCUUUUGAAACUGGUAGACUAGAAUACGGGAUAGGAGGGCGGAACUACAAGUGUAGAGGUGAAAUUCGUAGAUAUUUGUAGGAAUGCCGAUGACGAAGGUAGCUCUCUGGACCGACAUUGACGCUGAAGUGCGAAAGCUAGGGUAGCAAACA